CUACGUAGGGAGCGAGCGUUGUCCGGAAUGAUUGGGCGUAAAGGGCGCGUAGGCGGCCCGGUAAGUCUGGAGUGAAAGUCCUGUUUUUAAGAUGGGAAUUGCUUUGGAUACUGUCGGGCUUGAGUGCAGGAGAGGUAAGUGGAAUUCCCAGUGUAGCGGUGAAAUGCGUAGAGAUUGGGAGGAACACCAGUGGCGAAGGCGACUUACUGGACUGUAACUGACGCUGAGGCGCGAAAGUGUGGGGAGCAAACAGGAUUAGAUACCCUGGUAGUCCACACUGUAAACGAUGAAUGCUAGGUGUAGGGGGUAUCGACCCCUUCUGUGCCGCAGUCAACACAAUAAGCAUUCCGCCUGGGGAGUACGGCCGCAAGGUUGAAACUCAAAUGAAUUGACGGGG
RNAcentral lists this ribosomal RNA (397 nucleotides) under uncultured bacterium. Its description in RNAcentral is "partial 16S ribosomal RNA". It matches the Rfam family "Bacterial small subunit ribosomal RNA", at positions 523 to 918 of the family's 1533-position model. The record is from RNAcentral.